RNAcentral lists this ribosomal RNA (465 nucleotides) under uncultured bacterium. RNAcentral describes it as "partial 16S ribosomal RNA". It matches the Rfam family "Bacterial small subunit ribosomal RNA", at positions 338 to 795 of the family's 1533-position model. The record is from RNAcentral.
CCUACGGGAGGCAGCAGUAGGGAAUCUUCCACAAUGGGCGAAAGCCUGAUGGAGCAACGCCGCGUGGGUGAAGAAGGCCUUCGGAUCGUAAAACCCUGUUGUUAGAGAAGAAAGUGCGUGAGCGUAACUGCUCACGUUUAGACGGUAUCUAACCAGAAAGCGCCGGCUAACUACGUGCCAGCACCGGCGGUAAUACGUAGGUGGCAAGCGUUAUCCGGAUUUAUUGGGCGUAAAGGGAACGCAGGCGGUCUUUUAAGUCUGAUGUGAAAGCCUUCGGCUUAACCGGAGUAGUGCAUUGGAAACUGGGAGACUUGAGUGCAGAAGAGGAGAGUGGAACUCCAUGUGUAGCGGUGAAAUGCGUAGAUAUGUGGAAGAACACCAGUGGCGAAGGCGGCUCUCUGGUCUGUAACUGACGCUGAGGUUCGAAAGCGUGGGUAGCAAACAGGAUUAGAUACCCUGGUAGUC